UCCGUAGGCGGGUAAUUAAGUCAGAGGUGAAAUCCCACAGCUUAACUGUGGAACUGCCUUAGAUACUGGUUAUCUUGAGUUUUAGUGAAGUAGAUAGAAUGUGUAGUGUAGCGGUGAAAUGCAUAGAUAUUACACAGAAUACCGAUUGCGAAGGCAGUCUACUAACUAACAACUGACGCUAAUGGACGAAAGCGUGGGGAGCGAACAGGAUAGAUACCCUGGUAGUCC
Molecule: ribosomal RNA, 228 nt
Filed under: uncultured bacterium
Lineage: Bacteria
Description: partial 16S ribosomal RNA
Rfam family: Bacterial small subunit ribosomal RNA
Source: RNAcentral